UUAGCGGCGGACGGGUGAGUAACACGUGGAUAACCUACCUAUAAGACUGGGAUAACUUCGGGAAACCGGAGCUAAUACCGGAUAAUAUUUUGAACCGCAUGGUUCAAAAGUGAAAGACGGUCUUGCUGUCACUUAUAGAUGGAUCCGCGCUGCAUUAGCUAGUUGGUAAGGUAACGGCUUACCAAGGCAACGAUGCAUAGCCGACCUGAGAGGGUGAUCGGCCACACUGGAACUGAGACACGGUCCAGACUCCUACGGGAGGCAGCAGUAGGGAAUCUUCCGCAAUGGGCGAAAGCCUGACGGAGCAACGCCGCGUGAGUGAUGAAGGUCUUCGGAUCGUAAAACUCUGUUAUUAGGGAAGAACAUAUGUGUAAGUAACUGUGCACAUCUUGACGGUACCUAAUCAGAAAGCCACGGCUAACUACG
Molecule: ribosomal RNA, 426 nt
Filed under: Staphylococcus aureus
Lineage: Bacteria; Bacillati; Bacillota; Bacilli; Caryophanales; Staphylococcaceae
Description: bacterial SSU rRNA
Rfam family: Bacterial small subunit ribosomal RNA
Source: RNAcentral